CAUUCGUUAUUUUGUUUUUCGGUGAAAAUUGCCAUUGAUAUGGUAGGAAACUAGAAUAGCUAGCUUUUCCAUGUGAUAUAAUAAAAUUUCUCAACAUAAAGUUAUAAUCAUUGAAAUGUUGUUCAUCUUUAAGCAUGUGGAAGUCCAUUUGAAGACCUAAGAUGGAAUAUGUUUGGGUAUGAAUAAUUGCCACUGACUUUUCAGACCAUAUAUUUAGCCACUAAAUUGCCCCAGAAAAUUACACAAAGUAAUUGGAGUACAUUUCUUAUAUUUCAUGCAAUCAAAAUUCCAAAAUUUCCACAUAAUUCUGUCAUCAGAUGAUGUUGAAUUUCUUAAACAACACUGGCAAGCUGGUUAAAAAUUGUUGUUGAACAAUUUGAGUUGUAAUGUUCGAUCUAUACAAUUUUGUUAAAAUAAUUGUCAGCUUUUUAGAUGAAUGAAUUUACAAUCUGUUUUAGGAGUAAUCAUACAUGAAUUAAGAACAGCUGCAAAGUAGAAUGCGAACAUCAAAAGUCAAUGAUGAAGAACAAAAAUUAAGGUUGAUCCAUCUAUUGGAAAGUUGCUUGCUGCACCAUAUAUGAUAUUUGUAGCAAACAUUUACUUUUAGACUUUUGCCAAUCAGAAACAUUGACAAUUAUAUAUGGAAUUCUUUAGGCUGAUAGAUGCUUGCCUAAAUCCCCUCAUAGAGCACUCCAGUUUACUGGCUUUUGCAAUUUGUAAUUACUAAUUUCUGCACUCUUGCCCUUUAAUAUACAUAACCACCUAUUAACAUAUAUUACUUCCAAACAACUUACGAGCUGAACACACUAGAAUUUAACCUUUGGUCUGUGGGUGCUGUCAUAAACAAAGUAAUGACUCUAAGCAGGAGGCAGCAGUUGCCUCUUCUUCCAGAUUGACCUGCAUAAAUAUUUUCCAUGUAUUUAUAUGGGAUGCUGCAGCAGGUUCUAGCAGACUUCUUGUCGAGCACUCUUCAUCUCGUACCACAGCACUCUUCAUCUUGCUCCACUAGCUGAAGGAUCAAUUACACUCCAGAUCAUUCCCAGAAUGGAAUUUAUAGGGACUGCAAUGCAGAUUGUUCCUCUUGAAUUCGGAUUCAUCCAUCCAACACAGGGAAUCCAAGAGGCUUUGUGCAGCAGAUGUUCCACUACACUUAAGAGAAGGCCUUGGUCUUUAUGCCAUCCAAAGCUGAGUUUCCCUCCAUCACCAUACAGGUAGGAGAAGAUCUUUCUUCAUUGGCUCGGUUCUGAUAGAACUGAACUUAUGGUUCAUCAUCAAACAAGCACUCUUCUUAUGCCACAAGCCUUUCUCAUAUGAUUGUGUUAUCUCUAAGACUCCUUAUCUGCCUGGAGAUGGUUCAAUUUGAUGUGCUGUUGUUGUAAAUAACUUUUCUGUAAUGUCCAGUGAGGAUGGCAAAAAUAAAGGUCUGUUCUUCCAUAUGUGAAAACAUUCAUUUGACUGUAAGCCUAGUGUUCUCCUUCAGCUGAACUCUAGCAAGAGAUUUCCAUGAUGUGCAAGUCUCAUUCUGCAUCAGCUAUAAUUGAUCUAUUUUUUUCUCAGAUAUUCUUGUUUAGUGGUCUCCACCAACAGCUCUUCAAUUGGAGACCUUAAUAAGAGUUUUCUUUAAUGA
Non-coding RNA from Musa acuminata subsp. malaccensis (wild Malaysian banana), 1627 nucleotides. The record is from RefSeq and is a predicted model, not a curated record. NCBI's taxonomy places the organism in Eukaryota, Viridiplantae, Streptophyta, Magnoliopsida, Zingiberales, Musaceae.